RNAcentral lists this ribosomal RNA (465 nucleotides) under Vreelandella stevensii. RNAcentral describes it as "partial 16S ribosomal RNA". It matches the Rfam family "Bacterial small subunit ribosomal RNA", at positions 338 to 795 of the family's 1533-position model. Lineage: Bacteria; Pseudomonadati; Pseudomonadota; Gammaproteobacteria; Oceanospirillales; Halomonadaceae. The record is from RNAcentral.
CCUACGGGUGGCAGCAGUGGGGAAUAUUGGACAAUGGGCGAAAGCCUGAUCCAGCCAUGCCGCGUGUGUGAAGAAGGCCUUCGGGUUGUAAAGCACUUUCAGUGGGGAAGAAAGCCUUGGGGCUAAUACCCUCGAGGAAGGACAUCACCCACAGAAGAAGCACCGGCUAACUCCGUGCCAGCAGCCGCGGUAAUGCGGAGGGUGCGAGCGUUAAUCGGAAUUACUGGGCGUAAAGCGCGCGUAGGCGGUCUGAUAAGCCGGUUGUGAAAGCCCCGGGCUCAACCUGGGAACGGCAUCCGGAACUGUCAGGCUAGAGUGCAGGAGAGGAAGGUAGAAUUCCCGGUGUAGCGGUGAAAUGCGUAGAGAUCGGGAGGAAUACCAGUGGCGAAGGCGGCCUUCUGGACUGACACUGACGCUGAGGUGCGAAAGCGUGGGUAGCAAACAGGAUUAGAUACCCCAGUAGUC